RNAcentral lists this ribosomal RNA (440 nucleotides) under uncultured bacterium. RNAcentral's name for it is "partial 16S ribosomal RNA". It matches the Rfam family "Bacterial small subunit ribosomal RNA", at positions 338 to 795 of the family's 1533-position model. The record is from RNAcentral.
ACUACGGGUGGCAGUAGUGGGGAAUAUUGCACAAUGGGGGAAACCCUGAUGCAGCGACGCCGCGUGAGCGAUGAAGUAUUUCGGUAUGUAAAGCUCUAUCAGCAGGGAAGAAAAUGACGGUACCUGACUAAGAAGCCCCGGCUAACUACGUGCCAGCAGCCGCGGUAAUACGUAGGGGGCAAGCGUUAUCCGGAUUUACUGGGUGUAAAGGGAGCGUAGACGGCUGUGCAAGCCAGAUGUGAAAGCCCGGGGCUCAACCCCGGGACUGCAUUUGGAACUGUGUGGCUGGAGUGUCGGAGAGGCAGGCGGAAUUCCUAGUGUAGCGGUGAAAUGCGUAGAUAUUAGGAGGAACACCAGUGGCGAAGGCGGCCUGCUGGACGAUGACUGACGUUGAGGCUCGAAAGCGUGGGGAGCAAACAGGAUUAGAUACCCGAGUAGUC